AAAACCAGAGCAGUGCUUUAAAAUUACAGUUAAAAAAAAUCAUUUAAUCAUCACACUUCCUGUUGGCUAAUAGGGUAGUAAGUGACUUUUCCUCUUGCAAUAGGCUGCUCUAGCUCUGCCCACUAAGUGGGUCUGAGCGUACCAGGCUGGUUUCCGUCAGCCUCCACACAAAGUGCUGAGAGUUCAGGGAGCAUAUCUUUCCUUCCCCGUAAAUUCACUUAAGUACUAGUCGUGCUGCGGCUUUAACUGGGGCAGACAACCAGACUUGAGAUAAAAUGAAAAUAAUGGUCCAGGCUGGGUGCAGGGGAUGGUAGAGCGCACAUCAAUACGCUGAGUGUGAGUCUAUGUUAAUGUGGGCCUGAUGGAUCAGCUUUCUCUUUUAGCCUGGAGGACCAUUAAGCCCUGGAAGCUGGGUCAAACUGAUAGAGUCGGCAAAUAUACAGCUCAUCACUUAGCAGCGGUGGUUAACCGGCACGGCUGCCUAAUGUGCAGGAACAACGCUGCUUAAACAUUCGCCAUGAUCAGGACACAGAUCGGGAAGAAGAUAAUAGAUUCUGCCUUCAUUUGCAUAAUCAAAGCUUCUCAUUUUCCACCUAUAGAUAAUAUAAGAGGGGGCGAAACCACAGCCAGCACUUCCAUUAUGCUGUUAAUCUUGAAUCUCAGCAAAUAAUUUCCAUAAAAAUGUAAAUAACUUGUUUCAAAAAAAAAUUGCAAUGGAAAGGUUUUCCUGUGUUGCUUCUUUGGGGUUAAAUUGUAGAUACAGGUAGAGCGCUCCUGUCCUGAGGAUUUUGAGGGAUAAGAAAUAAAACUAAGUUUUCCUCCUUUUUGUAAUUAUGAAUUCUUAUAGUGAUUUGACUCAUGUGCAAAACUUUUUGCCGUGUUAAGCCAGAUUGCUUUUAGUGUACGGGAUUUGAAAAAAAAAAAGUUGCAAGUUACCGAGGUGACCAAAAAACUUGGUCGUUUAUUUCCCCUCAAAGCAGAGAAAUGGCAAAGUUCAUAGUAAAAUGAAAAUGAACAAUGGGAGAAAGGAAAGAGCGCAGGGCCAAGAGUUACCCUUCACAGAGCUCAGCACCAGGGGCCCUCUGGCAUCUCACAGUGGCGCGUCCCCCAUCACCUCCAUCUUCCUGUCUCCCCUUCCAUCUAAUCACGCCACAGCUGGGGUGGGUAGCGCUGUUAGCCAAGUACUUUCUUACAUAAUUUCCAAAGUGUUAAACUUUUAAACCUGGCAUCACUAGCUUAUCAGAAAUAUUGAAUUCACAUUUUUGUAUUGUGUGGACCUUUGUAUCCACUCUUAAAGAGACCUCUUUUGAGCACUCCUAUUUCCUAUUUCCGCCGCGGUCUUGAGCACAGCGUAUCUUGUAGGUACUUCUGCCUCAUUUAUAAAAAGGAGGUCAUGAGGAAGUUCCUGGAGUGACUGGGCUUAGGGGCAGCUAGGCCUGUUACUCAUAUUGUCGUCCGAGGCAGGUGAUGACAGGCUUGAGGCCAGCCUGGGCUACAGAGCAAGGGUUUUGUGUUAAAGUCUGAUUGUAAAGGAAUUUGUAUUUUGUGUAUAUGGACGUGUCGUGGGCGUGGUCCACGCAUGUGACCGCACCGCAUAGCCCUGUGCGGUGGCGUACGGAGGGAGGCCCGAGCGGCAUGCUGGCUGGCUUCCUGUGCUGCUUCCCACCCUGUUCCCCCGAGACAGGGUCUCUCCCUGACCCUGAGCCCCUGCUGGAUACCUGGAACACUCCUGAGAUCUGCCUGUCUCUGAGCUCACGGGCAAGGGGGGGUUGUGUCUCCCAUUCUAUGUGGGAUUUGGACCCAGCUCUUCAGGGUUGCAAGGUGAGCAUUCUUACCCAUUUACCCAGCCCUGUACUUUUUUUGUUGAAGGAAAAAAAAUAUUAAGUGCUUCUGUGUAUCUUGUUGGAUUCUAUACUGAAGUCUCU
This 1925-nucleotide long non-coding RNA is filed under the name Mus musculus (house mouse). RNAcentral's name for it is "long non-coding RNA chr17:85180499-85182424". Lineage: Eukaryota; Metazoa; Chordata; Mammalia; Rodentia; Muridae. The record is from RNAcentral.